This 460-nucleotide ribosomal RNA is filed under the name uncultured bacterium. Its description in RNAcentral is "partial 16S ribosomal RNA". It matches the Rfam family "Bacterial small subunit ribosomal RNA", at positions 338 to 795 of the family's 1533-position model. The record is from RNAcentral.
CCUACGGGAGGCAGCAGUGAGGAAUAUUGGUCAAUGGCCGGAAGGCUGAACCAGCCAUGCCGCGUGAAGGUCAGUGCCCUAUGGGCGUUAAACUUCUUUUGUGCGGGAGCAAUAAUGGUCACGUGUGGCCAGACGAGAGUACCGUACGAAUAAGCAUCGGCUAACUCAGUGCCAGCAGCCGCGGUGAUACGGGGUAUGCAAGCGUUAUCCGGAGUUAUUGGGUUUAAAGGGGGCGUAGGCUGUGAGGUAAGUCAGCGGUGAAAUGCCCCGGCGCAACGGUGUGAAGUGCCAUUGAUACUGGCUUGCUUGAAUGCGGAUGCCGUGGGAGGAAUGUGUGGUGUAGCGGUGAAAUGCAUAGAUAUCACACAGAACACCGAUUGCGAAGGCAUCUCACGAAUCCGCGAUUGACGCUGAUGCACGAAAGCGUGGGUAUCAAACAGGAUUAGAUACCCUUGUAGUC